RNAcentral lists this ribosomal RNA (1184 nucleotides) under Mactra cumingii. Its description in RNAcentral is "16S ribosomal RNA". It matches the Rfam family "Bacterial large subunit ribosomal RNA", at positions 486 to 2774 of the family's 2925-position model. The record is from RNAcentral. Lineage: Eukaryota; Metazoa; Mollusca; Bivalvia; Venerida; Mactridae.
UAGAAAAAUCCGUUUUUGAGUGGUAUUUUUUAAGAAGCAUUUACUAAUAGAGCUGAAGAGGAUAGGAAAAUAAAAUAAAUAGAUGUUAUUAAUGUUCGUACUUUUUGUAUAAUGGCUUAUAAAGUUAGAAAAUAAAUUUUUAUUCCCGAAAACUUUAGAGCUAUUUUUAUUUAUAAUAUUGUUGCAAUAAUAUGAAAAAUUAAAAAUAGAUGUGAUAUGUGUUACGAAAAAGUUGAUAUCUGGUUUAAUAGGAAAUGCAUUUAGUGCAGCAGCGGUGAGAUAAAUCUAUCCGAGAAUAUCAGAUAGAUUUGAUCGCGAGUGAGAUAGUAGGGGGUAAGCUCUAUUAUAAAUAAGAAAAAUUUUAAUAAAGUAGAAAUAAUAUUUUUAAGCUUUAAAAACUUUUCACAAAUUUUUUUUUUUUUUUUUUUUAAUUCUUACUAUUAUUUUGGAAAUAACUAUUUUCUAAAAAGUAGUAUAAGAUUAGUAUGAGGAAGACUAAUUUUUUUUAUAUCAAGUACUGGAAUUAGAGAAUAUGAAGUUAUCAUAAAUAUAUUACUAAGGAACUCGGCAAAAUUGAACCCCCGCCUGUUUAACAAAAACAUGUCUCUUCGAUAAACAAUAUGAAGAGUCGGCCCUGCCCAGUGGCGUCGUGCUAAACGGUCGCAACGAAUAGUUGUGCUAAGGUAGCGCAAUCAAUUGUCCUUUAAUUGGGGAAAGGAAUGAAAGGGUUGACGAGGGGAAAACUGUCUUUGUAGUAUAAUUUGAAGUUUUCUUUUAUGUGAAAAGACUUAGAUUUUGGAAUAAGAAGAGAAGACCCCGGCGAGCUUGUUAAGGGUUAUUAGGUUAAAAUAAUUAUUGAGUUUUGUUGGGGCAACGCAAAGGGAAAAUUACUCCUUUGAAUAAAAUACAGAUCCACUUAGAGUGAAUAAAGCAAAAGCUACCGCGGGGAUAACAGCGCAAUUUUUUCAGAGAGUUCAUAUCGAAGAGGAAGUUUGCGACCUCGAUGUUGGAUUAAAGUUUCCUCUUGGUGCAGGGGCUAAGAAGGUAGGACUGUUCGUCCUUUAAAAUUUUACAUGAUCUGAGUUCAGACCGGCGUGAGCUAGGUCGGUUUCUAUCUAUUAUUCAUUGUUCGUCGUACGUAAGGAUCCGAAUGAUAAAAAAUUUUUUAAUUAUAUAAUAAUUAA